RNAcentral lists this ribosomal RNA (1189 nucleotides) under Microbacterium sp. RNAcentral describes it as "bacterial SSU rRNA". It matches the Rfam family "Bacterial small subunit ribosomal RNA", at positions 285 to 1454 of the family's 1533-position model. Lineage: Bacteria; Bacillati; Actinomycetota; Actinomycetes; Micrococcales; Microbacteriaceae. The record is from RNAcentral.
AGCAGGGAUGUGAACCGGACCACCACUUGGAACUGAGAACACCGCCCAGACUCCUUACCGGAGGCAGCAGUGGGGAAUAUUGCACAUGGGCGAAAGCCUGAUGCAGCAACGCCGCGUGAGGGGAUGACGGGCCUUUCGGGUUGUAAACCUCUUUUAGCAGGGAAGAAGCGAAAGUGACCGGUACCCUGCAGAAAAAGCACCCGGCUAACUACGUGCCAGCAGCCGCGGUAAUACGUAGGGUGCAAGCGUUAUCCGGGAAUUAUUGGGCGUAAAGAGCUCGUAGGCGGUCUGUCGCGUCUGCUGUGAAAUCCCGAGGCUCAACCUCGGGCCUGCAGUGGGUACGGGCAGACUAGAGUGCGGUAGGGGAGAUUGGAAUUCCUGGUGUAGCGGUGGAAUGCGCAGAUAUCAGGAGGAACACCGAUGGCGAAGGCAGAUCUCUGGGCCGUAACUGACGCUGAGGAGCGAAAGGGUGGGGAGCAAACAGGCUUAGAUACCCUGGUAGUCCACCCCGUAAACGUUGGGAACUAGUUGUGGGGUCCAUUCCACGGAUUCCGUGACGAAGCUAACGCAUUAAGUUCCCCGCCUGGGGAGUACGGCCGCAAGGCUAAAACUCAAAGGAAUUGACGGGGACCCGCACAAGCGGCGGAGCAUGCGGAUUAAUUCGAUGCAACGCGAAGAACCUUACCAAGGCUUGACAUAUACCGGAAACGGCCAGAGAUGGUCGCCCCGCAAGGUCGGUAUACAGGUGGUGCAUGGUUGUCGUCAGCUCGUGUCGUGAGAUGUUGGGUUAAGUCCCGCAACGAGCGCAACCCUCGUUCUAUGUUGCCAGCACGUAAUGGUGGGAACUCAUGGGAUACUGCCGGGGUCAACUCGGAGGAAGGUGGGGAUGACGUCAAAUCAUCAUGCCCCUUAUGUCUUGGGCUUCACGCAUGCUACAAUGGCCGGUACAAAGGGCUGCGAUACCGUAAGGUGGAGCGAAUCCCAAAAAGCCGGUCCCAGUUCGGAUUGAGGUCUGCAACUCGACCUCAUGAAGUCGGAGUCGCUAGUAAUCGCAGAUCAGCAACGCUGCGGUGAAUACGUUCCCGGGUCUUGUACACACCGCCCGUCAAGUCAUGAAAGUCGGUAACACCUGAAGCCUGGAGCAGUCCCAUCUCGGGCACCAGGACCUUGGCGACAAGGGGGCCCCCCA